GGUGUCGCUCCGGCCGUUAUGGCCGCGGCCGCCGCCUAUCGUCAUUUUUAUUUGUAACAAAACAUGAAAUCAUCAUAGAAAGCUAAUCACCUCAUGGAGCCCAUGAAGAAAGGAGCCAACAGAUGCUCAGACAUUUUUCAUUGUUCUUCCAUUUCCUUGUCUUUCGUCUAAGGGUGCAUUUUGUAUGUACAUAGCCUUCAUUAGGCAGUACAUGAAUGUCAGAGCGGAAUACAAAUGAGCGCAUUUGAGACAAUAAGUGACGCAGUGGCUUAGGCUAUAAAUUCCUGGAAAUGUCGGACACAAUCGCAUUCACGAAUUGGAGAAACCAGUUCGAAAAUUGGUAUAAAACGGAGAAGGAAGGACUGCAAUCAGCAUUCGAUCCAAAAUUAUUUCAGUGUGAACACCCUCCUGCUAACAGAUCCAGACAUGAAGGCGGUCUUUGUUCUCGCGUGUGUGCUGGUGGCAGUCGCCGCUGAGCCUUUUGGGCUUCAUGGAGGACUUGGACUGGCCGCUGGAGGCGCGGGCUCUAGCGGAUUCCAGAGCCAGGGGAGUGGCCUCUUUGGUUCUGGUGGUCACCAGGGAGCUCGCAGCCACGCCGGGGGUUUCGCUGGCCUGGGCGGCGCCUCUCUGAACUCGGGAGGCAGUCACCUGGCACAGGGCACCGGCCUCUUCGGAGGCCGUCAGGUCGCCAAUACCGGCGCCCUCAGCCACCAGUUCGGACGCUAGAGGUCGUCAGGUCAUCAGAUUGGACUUCUGAGGGCGUCAGUUCACCACCAACGGCGUUUUCGGUCAUCAGUUGAAACGCUAACGCGGUGAUUUUAUAGAUGGAUUUCAGCUAGAUGCGUAUCGGUCUUCGAUACAGGCGCUACAUUUUGUUUUCGAAAUGUUUUAUGGGUUGCAACAGAAUGGCAUUUGCAUGUGGCGCUAGUUUUGUGAAACAAUAAAUUGGCACCAGCUGAGAUACGGAA
Molecule: long non-coding RNA, 968 nt
Organism: Amphibalanus amphitrite
Lineage: Eukaryota; Metazoa; Arthropoda; Thecostraca; Balanomorpha; Balanidae
Exons: 3
Source: RefSeq, a predicted model, not a curated record